Molecule: ribosomal RNA, 298 nt
Filed under: Segatella buccae
Lineage: Bacteria; Pseudomonadati; Bacteroidota; Bacteroidia; Bacteroidales; Prevotellaceae
Description: partial 16S ribosomal RNA
Rfam family: Bacterial small subunit ribosomal RNA
Source: RNAcentral
ACAAUGGAGAGUUUGAUCCUGGCUCAGGAUGAACGCUGGCUACAGGCUUAACACAUGCAAGUCGAGGGGCAGCAUGCCGGUUGCUUGCAACCGGUGAUGGCGACCGGCGCACGGGUGAGUAACGCGUAUCCAACCUUCCCGCGACCAAGGGAUAACCUGCCGAAAGGCAGACUAAUACCUUAUGUCCUCCUUUGAAGGCAUCUGACGAGGAGCAAAGAUCCGUCGGUCACGGAUGGGGAUGCGUCCGAUUAGCUUGUUGGCGGGGCAACGGCCCACCAAGGCAUCGAUCGGUAGGGGU